Molecule: small nucleolar RNA, 96 nt
Organism: Salvia splendens (bonfire salvia)
Lineage: Eukaryota; Viridiplantae; Streptophyta; Magnoliopsida; Lamiales; Lamiaceae
Product: small nucleolar RNA R11/Z151
Exons: 1
Source: RefSeq, a predicted model, not a curated record
UGGCUUAUGAUGAAAAAAUAAUUAUCUUAGCGGAUUUCAGUGAGGUUAUGAUUUUUAUCACCAUCAAUGAUCUGAUUGUUACACACACUGAAGCCU